Molecule: long non-coding RNA, 917 nt
Organism: Calidris pugnax (ruff)
Lineage: Eukaryota; Metazoa; Chordata; Aves; Charadriiformes; Scolopacidae
Exons: 3
Source: RefSeq, a predicted model, not a curated record
UUAAUGCUGAGUCUUGCCUGCCAAGGGCUAUCAGACCCGUCUGCAGCGAUGCUGCUGGUGGGGGCUCACGUGGGAGACAGCGUGGGCUGUAACCUGACUCAUCCCCCUUUGAUUCAUCUCACUUUGCAGCCUGAACAUACGCUGCCAGCUCCCAGGACCCAAGAACCACCAGCUGUCAGAACAGCAUUUUGAGAAGGGCAACAUUUUUCCAGGUGUUCCUUGGACUGUGAUAUGAAGAUUAUUAACGUGGCGACACCAGAUUACACCAUAUCGAGAUGGUAUUUCUGAAGGGUCUAUAGUGUCCUGAAUUCUCUGUGCUAGAGGAGACAGGAUGUUCACGUAACAGCAAAUUGCCAGCUGCAGAUGAUGCUAAAAGGACCUUACCCAACAAUGUCUACGAAUGCUUUCCCAAGAGGCUUCUCCUCGUAUUGGACUCCGUACUUGGCACAUAAGGACUUCACCAAAGGUUUCACCUUCCAGAAAUUGUGCCGUGGCAUUGUUGGAAACAGGCUUGAAUUAGAGAAAGAGAAAACAAACCUGAGAAAACUCCGGAGACUAAUCCCAAGGGAUGGGCAUCUGUCUCUGCAUCCUCACAGGGGCUAAUUAUUAAUGCCUUCUCCUCACUCAAGCCGUGCAAGCAGGCAAAAGAGAGGCACCAAGAGGUAUCUGUGCUUUACAGUCUGUUUCAAGAAGGCUUGUGAAAACUGAAUGCACUGAUUUCCCACCUCUGGAAGCUCACAGAACAGCGAAGCAGAUGUACUGCUCCAAAGAUCCUGCCCCAUCCCACGCCUGCACCUUUGGCAGACUUUCCCUCCCCUUGGGUCUGGUGUUGUGACAACAACAGAAAGAAAUUCUUUCUUGUGAGGGUGGUGAGACACUGGAACAGAUUGCCCAGAGAAGCUGUGGCUGCCCCAUCC